AUUGAACGCUGGCGGCAUGCCUUACACAUGCAAGUCGAACGGUAACGGGCCUUCGGGUGCCGACGAGUGGCGAACGGGUGAGUAAUGCAUCGGAACGUACCUUUCAGUGGGGGAUAACGUAGCGAAAGUUACGCUAAUACCGCAUAUUCUGUGAGCAGGAAAGCAGGGGAUCGCAAGACCUUGCGCUGAUUGAGCGGCCGAUGUCAGAUUAGCUAGUUGGUGAGGUAAAGGCUCACCAAGGCGACGAUCUGUAGCGGGUCUGAGAGGAUGAUCCGCCACACUGGAACUGAGACACGGUCCAGACUCCUACGGGAGGCAGCAGUGGGGAAUUUUGGACAAUGGGGGCAACCCUGAUCCAGCCAUGCCGCGUGAGUGAAGAAGGCCUU
This 386-nucleotide ribosomal RNA is filed under the name uncultured bacterium. Its description in RNAcentral is "bacterial SSU rRNA". It matches the Rfam family "Bacterial small subunit ribosomal RNA", at positions 30 to 418 of the family's 1533-position model. The record is from RNAcentral.